This 301-nucleotide ribosomal RNA is filed under the name uncultured bacterium. RNAcentral's name for it is "partial 16S ribosomal RNA". It matches the Rfam family "Bacterial small subunit ribosomal RNA", at positions 509 to 807 of the family's 1533-position model. The record is from RNAcentral.
CAGCCGCCACGGUAAUACGAAGGGUGCAAGCGUUAAUCGGAAUUACUGGGCGUAAAGCGUGCGUAGGCGGUGAGUUAAGUCUGCUGUGAAAUCCCCGGGCUCAACCUGGGAAUGGCAGUGGAUACUGGCUCGCUAGAGUGUGUCAGAGGAUGGUGGAAUUCCCGGUGUAGCGGUGAAAUGCGUAGAGAUCGGGAGGAACAUCAGUAGCGAAGGCGGCCAUCUGGGACAACACUGACGCUGAGGCACGGAAGCGUGGGGAGCAAACAGGAUUAGAUACCCCGGUAGUCCCUGUCUCUUAUAC